This 467-nucleotide ribosomal RNA is filed under the name uncultured bacterium. RNAcentral's name for it is "partial 16S ribosomal RNA". It matches the Rfam family "Bacterial small subunit ribosomal RNA", at positions 28 to 506 of the family's 1533-position model. The record is from RNAcentral.
GACGAACGCUGGCGGCGUGCUUAACACAUGCAAGUCGAACGGAAAGGCCCUGCUUUUGUGGGGUGCUCGAGUGGCGAACGGGUGAGUAACACGUGAGUAACCUGCCCUUGACUUUGGGAUAACUUCAGGAAACUGGGGCUAAUACCGGAUAGGAGCUCCUGCUGCAUGGUGGGGGUUGGAAAGUUUCGGCGGUUGGGGAUGGACUCGCGGCUUAUCAGCUUGUUGGUGGGGUAGUGGCUUACCAAGGCUUUGACGGGUAGCCGGCCUGAGAGGGUGACCGGCGACAUUGGGACUGAGAGACGGCCCAGAGGACGACGGGAGGCAGCAGUGGGGAAUAGUGCACAAUGGGCGGAAGCCGGAUGCAGCAACGCCGCGUGCGGGAUGAGGGCCUUCGGGUUGUAAACCGCUUUAGACUGUGACGAAGCGUGAGAGACGGUAAUGGGUAAAGAAGCACCGGAUAACUACGU